RNAcentral lists this ribosomal RNA (588 nucleotides) under uncultured bacterium. RNAcentral's name for it is "bacterial SSU rRNA". It matches the Rfam family "Bacterial small subunit ribosomal RNA", at positions 338 to 917 of the family's 1533-position model. The record is from RNAcentral.
CCUACGGGAGGCAGCAGUGGGGAAUUUUGGACAAUGGGGGCAACCCUGAUCCAGCCAUUCCGCGUGAGUGAAGAAGGCCUUCGGGUUGUAAAGCUCUUUCAGCGGGAACGAAACGGUACGCUCUAAUAUAGUGUGCUAAUGACGGUACCCGCAGAAGAAGCACCGGCUAACUACGUGCUAGCAGCCGCGGUAAUACGUAGGGUGCGAGCGUUAAUCGGAAUUAUUGGGCGUAAAGCGUACGUAGGCUGCUAAUUAAGUCUGUUGUCAAAGCCCGAGGCUCAACCUUGGAUCGGCAAUGGAAACUGAAUAGCUAGAGAGAGAUAGGGGCAGGAGGAAUUCCAGGUGUAGCGGUGAAAUGCGUAGAUAUCUGGAAGAACACCAGUGGCGAAAGCGUCCUGCUGGAUCUCAACUGACGCUGAAGUACGAGAGCUAGGGGAGCGAAUGGGAUUAGAUACCCCAGUAGUCCUAGCCGUAAACGAUGGGUACUAGGUGUUGGUCGUAUCGACCCGAUCAGUGCCGUAGCUAACGCGUUAAGUACCCCGCCUGGGGAGUACGGUCGCAAGAUUAAAACUCAAAGGAAUUGACGGA